UCCCAGACUCCUACGGGAGGCAGCAGUGGGGAAUCUUCCGCAAUGGGCGAAAGCCUGACGGAGCAACGCCGCGUGAUCGAAUGAAGACCUUCGGGUUGUAAAGAUCUGUUGACAGGGACGAAUAAGCCAUGCGAAUAGUUUGGUGUAUGACGGUACCUGUUUAGAAAGCUCCGGCUAACUACGUGCCAGCAGCCGCGGUAAUACGUAGGGAGCAAGCGUUGUCCGGAAUUACUGGGCGUAAAGGGCGCGUAGGUGGGUGCUUAAGUCAGGUGUGAAAACUCUGGGCUCAACCUGGAGACUGCACUUGAAACUGUUUUUCUUGAGUGAAGCAGAGGCAAGCGGAAUUCCUAGUGUAGCGGUGAAAUGCGUUGAUAUUAGGAGGAACACCAGUGGCGAAGGCGGCUUGCUGGGCUUUUACUGACGCUGAGGCUCGAAAGCGUGGGGAGCAAACAGGAUUAGAUACCCCUGUAA
Molecule: ribosomal RNA, 471 nt
Filed under: uncultured bacterium
Lineage: Bacteria
Description: bacterial SSU rRNA
Rfam family: Bacterial small subunit ribosomal RNA
Source: RNAcentral